RNAcentral lists this transfer RNA (66 nucleotides) under Acraea poggei. RNAcentral's name for it is "tRNA-Ile". The record is from RNAcentral. Lineage: Eukaryota; Metazoa; Arthropoda; Insecta; Lepidoptera; Nymphalidae.
AAUAAAGUGCCUGAUAAAAGGAUUACCUUGAUAGGGUAAACUAUGUAAUUUAAAUUACCUUUAUUA